Molecule: small nuclear RNA, 188 nt
Filed under: Junco hyemalis (dark-eyed junco)
Lineage: Eukaryota; Metazoa; Chordata; Aves; Passeriformes; Passerellidae
Description: U2 spliceosomal RNA (ENSJHYG00000008101.1)
Rfam family: U2 spliceosomal RNA
About the family: U2 is a small nuclear RNA (snRNA) component of the spliceosome (involved in pre-mRNA splicing). Complementary binding between U2 snRNA (in an area lying towards the 5' end but 3' to hairpin I) and the branchpoint sequence (BPS) of the intron results the bulging out of an unpaired adenosine, on the BPS, which initiates a nucleophilic attack at the intronic 5' splice site, thus starting the first of two transesterification reactions that mediate splicing.
Source: RNAcentral
ACAGAUUUGCUGCUGGUGUUGGCCAAGUGUAGCAUCUGAUCUUAAAAGUUUAAUAUCUGAUAUGCCCUUGAUGAGAGGAUUUUUAUAUUAAACAGACUUUGGGUCAUGGGAGCUGGAUCUGGAGCUUGCUCUGUCUGCUUCAUGCAUUGCCCCAGCAUUGCAGUGACUCUGGGAAUGAUGCACUGAUA